UUGGAGGGCAAGUCUGGUGCCAGCAGCCGCGGUAAUUCCAGCUCCAAUAGCGUAUAUUAAAGUUGUUGCAGUUAAAAAGCUCGUAGUUGAACUUCGGGGUCUACCCAUUGGUCAGGCUUAAUUGUCUGCACUGGUGAGAUGGAUCUCUACCUUCUGAGGAACUUUCAUGCCAUUUAUUUGGUGUGGUUGGAAAUCAGGACUGUUACUUUGAAAAAAUUAGAGUGUUUAAAGCAGACUAUCGUCUGAAUACAUUAGCAUGGAAUAAUGAAAUAGGACGGACUGAUUCUAUUUCGUUGGUUUCUAGGAUCACCGUAAUGAUUAAUAGGGAUAGUUGGGGGCAUUAGUAUUCAAUUGUCAGAGGUGAAAUUCUUGGAUUUAUUGAAGACUAACUACUGCGAAAGCAUUUGCCAAGGAUGUUUUCAUUAAUCAAGAACGAAAGUUAGGGGAUCGAAGACGAUCAGAUACCGUCGUAGUCCUAACCAUAAACUAUGCCGACUAGGGAUCGGACGAAGUUAAUUUUAUAAUGACGCGUUCGGCGCCUUACGGGAAAC
RNAcentral lists this ribosomal RNA (551 nucleotides) under uncultured Glomeromycotina. RNAcentral describes it as "SSU rRNA". It matches the Rfam family "Eukaryotic small subunit ribosomal RNA", at positions 548 to 1098 of the family's 1831-position model. Lineage: Eukaryota; Fungi; Glomeromycota. The record is from RNAcentral.